UCUGGCUCAUUACAGAUUUCAUGUGUGCUCCGGUGUACAGCUCAUCUCCAUCUGGCGAUAGUCUGUCCUGUGAGGUUUUGUGCCUCGGGGAAUCCAAGAUGCCGAUGGCCAUCCUACUGAGCACCGGCUGAGUCUCCAUCGUGCAGACUGUCCAGUGGCAGGAUCUCUUACUUGGGAAAUGGAGCCACCCAGACGGAGUGCAGGACCAGGAUGUUGACGGAGUUACCGUCAUCACAUCUAACGAUAUCCUGAAGAAGACAAUUGACAGUGGUACCUUAUGUGUACAUUUUGAAGAGCUCAGUCAGCUGUACAAUGAAAAGCUCACAUCUGGAGGAGAAGAUGGGCGGAUCCUACCCUUACCAGGCAGAAGGGAAAUGGGAUUCUGAUGGAGUCCUGGAAGACGGCCAUCGGGGAUCUCUACAAGAGGGAUAAAGAGGAGUGACAGGGAGAGCAUCCUCCAGAGCUCAGGCCUCCCCUUGCAGUACCUGUUGACCUUUCUGAUGCUUAGGGACCAAAGCAUCUUCAAGAAGAGAUCUAUAUGCACGUAGUAAGAAAGGGCCUGGCCUAAGGAAUGAUGCCUCUCACAGUGGGCUAGGACUUCCUACAUCCAUCUCCUAUAGACAUGCUCAGCCUGAUCUAGGUAAUUUCUCAUUAAUAUUCUACCUCUUCUCCUUUUAAAGACAGACUCUUACAAAGCUCAGAUUGAGCUCAAAAUUGCUAUGAAACUAAGAAUGAUCUUGAAUUCCAGACCAUCCUUGCCUCUGCCUCCCAAGUGCUGGGGUUACAGGCACGUGCACUGCUGAGUUCAAUCAUAUAAAAUCAUUUUGGGAAGGUGGGAAAGAAAGAAAGAGGCCAUGGAAGAGGUUGAUGCAGCAGGAAGGGAAAGAAUGCUUUGAAUAAGGAUGGAGGUGAAUGUAGUCCUUGCUUGGGCCUAGCAAAAGGCAAAAGGCCCUCAGAGAGGAGGCAAGCACUGAAUUCUACAGAGAAGGAAGAGAAAUCCUUAAGUAAAGAUUAAAAU
RNAcentral lists this small RNA (1018 nucleotides) under Rattus norvegicus (Norway rat). Its description in RNAcentral is "uncharacterized LOC102552432". Lineage: Eukaryota; Metazoa; Chordata; Mammalia; Rodentia; Muridae. The record is from RNAcentral.